RNAcentral lists this ribosomal RNA (716 nucleotides) under uncultured Enterobacteriaceae bacterium. RNAcentral describes it as "bacterial SSU rRNA". It matches the Rfam family "Bacterial small subunit ribosomal RNA", at positions 787 to 1502 of the family's 1533-position model. Lineage: Bacteria; Pseudomonadati; Pseudomonadota; Gammaproteobacteria; Enterobacterales; Enterobacteriaceae. The record is from RNAcentral.
CUGGUAGUCCACGCUGUAAACGAUGUCGAUUUGGAGUUUGGGGGCAUGACCCUUGGGCUCCGGAGCUAACGCGUUAAAUCGACCGCCUGGGGAGUACGGCCGCAAGGUUAAAACUCAAAUGAAUUGACGGGGGCCCGCACAAGCGGUGGAGCAUGUGGUUUAAUUCGAUGCAACGCGAAGAACCUUACCUGGUCUUGACAUCCAUAGAAUCUUUCAGAGAUGAGAGAGUGCCUUCGGGAGCUAUGAGACAGGUGCUGCAUGGCUGUCGCCAGCUCGUGUUGUGAAAUGUUGGGUUAAGUCCCGCAACGAGCGCAACCCCUAUCCUUUGUUGCCAGCACGUAAUGGUGGGAACUCAAAGGAGACUGCCGUUGAUAAAGCGGAGGAAGGUGGGGACGACGUCAAGUCAUCAUGGCCCUUACGACCAGGGCUACACACGUGCUACAAUGGCGUAUACAAAGGGAUGCGAAGGUGCGAACUGGAGCGGACCUCACAAAGUACGUCUAAGUCCGGAUUGGAGUCUGCAACUCGACUCCAUGAAGUCGGAAUCGCUAGUAAUCGUGAAUCAGAAUGUCACGGUGAAUACGUUCCCGGGCCUUGUACACACCGCCCGUCACACCAUGGGAGUGGGUUGCACCAGAAGUAGAUAGCUUAACCUUCGGGAGGGCGUUUACCACGGUGUGGUUCAUGACUGGGGUGAAGUCGUAACAAGGUAACCA